AUGAUGAACCCGGUUGGUUCUUUCUGGUGGUGGGAUGUCAUGCAACUCAGCGACGUAUUCCGUGGGAUCACCAGGGUCAUAGUAGGGAAUGGUUCAUCUUCCCUGUUUUGGGAAGACGCCUGGUUUAGUGAUGAUCGAGACGCCCCGCUGAUGGAGAUCUUCUCCAGAGCCUUCUCCUUCUGCACUAAUGAGGACGUGUCUGUGGGUGGUGCGCUCGAGGCCACAAAUCAACGUCCCGCUGAUGGCGAGCAGCAAUGUUCUGAGGGAGGCCAAGCCACUGGAUGUUGUUGCGAUCCUGUGGUACAGAUGGGUGCCUGUGCUGCAGGCUGGAGUGUCGUGCUGCAAGUCUGGCGCGAUGCCCUCCACGCAUUGCUGCAUGCCAGCAGCCGAGAUACUCCACAGAGGCGCUUGUGCUGUAAGAGGUGA
This 426-nucleotide ribosomal RNA is filed under the name Triticum aestivum (bread wheat). RNAcentral describes it as "partial small subunit ribosomal RNA". Lineage: Eukaryota; Viridiplantae; Streptophyta; Magnoliopsida; Poales; Poaceae. The record is from RNAcentral.